UACAGAGGGUGCGAGCGUUAAUCGGAAUUACUGGGCGUAAAGGGCGCGUAGGUGGUGAUGUAAGAUUGGUGUGAAAUCCCUGGGCUUAACCUAGGAAUGGCAUCGAUGACUGUAUCGCUAGAGUACUGUAGAGGGUAGUAGAAUUUCCGGUGUAGCGGUGAAAUGCGUAGAGAUCGGAAGGAAUACCAGUGGCGAAGGCGGCUACCUGGACAGAUACUGACACUGAGGCGCGAGAGCGUGGGGAGCAAACAGG
This 253-nucleotide ribosomal RNA is filed under the name uncultured bacterium. Its description in RNAcentral is "partial 16S ribosomal RNA". It matches the Rfam family "Bacterial small subunit ribosomal RNA", at positions 524 to 776 of the family's 1533-position model. The record is from RNAcentral.